GGUAAUACGUAGGGUGCGAGCGUUAAUCGGAAUUACUGGGCGUAAAGCGUGCGCAGGCGGUUCGUUAAGACAGAUGUGAAAUCCCCGGGCUUAACCUGGGAACUGCAUUUGUGACUGGCGAGCUAGAGUAUGGCAGAGGGGGGUAGAAUUCCACGUGUAGCAGUGAAAUGCGUAGAGAUGUGGAGGAAUACCGAUGGCGAAGGCAGCCCCCUGGGCCAAUACUGACGCUCAUGCACGAAAGCGUGGGGAGCAAACA
This 256-nucleotide ribosomal RNA is filed under the name uncultured Burkholderia sp. Its description in RNAcentral is "partial 16S ribosomal RNA". It matches the Rfam family "Bacterial small subunit ribosomal RNA", at positions 519 to 774 of the family's 1533-position model. The record is from RNAcentral. Lineage: Bacteria; Pseudomonadati; Pseudomonadota; Betaproteobacteria; Burkholderiales; Burkholderiaceae.